Molecule: non-coding RNA, 362 nt
Filed under: Clostridium saccharoperbutylacetonicum
Lineage: Bacteria; Bacillati; Bacillota; Clostridia; Eubacteriales; Clostridiaceae
Also listed under: 1 other name
Description: GlcN6P sequence
Rfam family: glmS glucosamine-6-phosphate activated ribozyme aptamer
About the family: This entry contains a glucosamine-6-phosphate activated ribozyme that is found in the mRNA for GlmS. GlmS is an enzyme that uses fructose-6-phosphate and glutamine to generate glucosamine-6-phosphate.
Source: RNAcentral
AUUUAAAAUAAAGCGCCAGAACUUAAGUGUACUACUUAAUUAAUAGUACUAUGGUUCAAAAUAAAAGGUGAUUUAAAUUUAUUUUGUAAAUACUAUAGUAAUUUUUUUAAGGAAUUUAACUAGCUAAAGCUAGUUAACUAAGUUCGACUAACCAAAUCAUAGAUUUGGAGUCUCACUUAUCACUUGCCCGAUUACACUGGGUAAGUUCUGCUAACUAAAUCGAAGAUUUAGAGCAUCACUUAAGUUGACGAGGUUGGGGAGUUAUCGAAACUUCGGCGGGUGCCCCACGGUAUUUGCACUACCGUUAACAACUGGCAAAACUUUAAAGCGAUUUAAAGAACAAAUCCAGUUUGGUGUUAAAA